Molecule: ribosomal RNA, 429 nt
Filed under: Verrucomicrobiota bacterium
Lineage: Bacteria; Pseudomonadati; Verrucomicrobiota
Description: Verrucomicrobia bacterium partial 16S ribosomal RNA
Rfam family: Bacterial small subunit ribosomal RNA
Source: RNAcentral
UAGGGAAUCUUCCGCAAUGGACGAAAGUCUGACGGAGCAACGCCGCGUGAGUGAAGAAGGAUUUCGGUUCGUAAAACUCUGUUGUUAGGGAAGAAAAAAUGUAUAGUAACUAUAUACAAAAGAGACGGUACCUAACCAGAAAGCCACGGCUACUUAGGGGCCAGCAGCCGCGGUAAUACGUAGGUGGCAAGCGUUGUCCGGAAUUAUUGGGCGUAAAGCGCGCGCAGGUGGUUUAGAAAGUCUGAUGUGAAAGCCCACGGCUCAACCGUGGAGGGUCAUUGGAAACUAAAAAACUUGAGUGCAGGAGAGAAAAGUGGAAUUCCUAGUGUAGCGGUGAAAUGCGUAGAGAUUAGGAGGAACACCGGUGGCGAAAGCGGCUUUUUGGCCUGCAACUGACACUGAGGCGCGAAAGCGUGGGGAGCAAACAGG